Molecule: ribosomal RNA, 253 nt
Filed under: uncultured bacterium
Lineage: Bacteria
Description: partial 16S ribosomal RNA
Rfam family: Bacterial small subunit ribosomal RNA
Source: RNAcentral
UACGGAGGGUGCAAGCGUUAUCCGGAUUCACUGGGUUUAAAGGGUGCGUAGGAGGGCAGGUAAGUCAGUGGUGAAAUCCCCGAGCUUAACUUGGGAACUGCCGUUGAUACUAUCUGUCUUGAAUAUUGUGGAGGUGAGCGGAAUAUGUCAUGUAGCGGUGAAAUGCUUAGAUAUGACAUAGAACACCAAUUGCGAAGGCAGCUUACUACGGAUCGAUUGACACUGAGGCACGAAAGCGUGGGGAUCAAACAGG